This 375-nucleotide unclassified non-coding RNA is filed under the name soil metagenome. Its description in RNAcentral is "partial contains 5.8S ribosomal RNA, internal transcribed spacer 2, and large subunit ribosomal RNA". The stretch from base 1 to 120 matches the Rfam family "5.8S ribosomal RNA", at positions 35 to 154 of the family's 154-position model. The record is from RNAcentral.
GAUGAAGAACGCAGCGAAAUGCGAUAAGUAAUGUGAAUUGCAGAAUUCAGUGAAUCAUCGAAUCUUUGAACGCACAUUGCGCCCCUUGGUAUUCCGAGGGGCAUGCCUGUUCGAGCGUCAUUAUACAAUCUCUCAAGCUUGGCUUGGUGUUGGGUCUUCGUCUCCUUGUCCCUGCCGCCCAAGUGGGUGCGGAGGACUCGGACGUACCUGAAAAUUAGUGGCGGUGCUCAUGAUGGUCUCAAGCGUAGCAGACUCUCUCUCGCUUUGGAUGGCCUGUCAUGUAGCUCACCAGCCUUGCAUGCAUCUUCAACUAAGGUUUGACCUCGGAUCAGGUAGGGAUACCCGCUGAACUUAAGCAUAUCAAUAAGCGGAGGA